Long non-coding RNA from Pyrus x bretschneideri (Chinese white pear), 2823 nucleotides. RefSeq lists it as uncharacterized. The record is from RefSeq and is a predicted model, not a curated record. NCBI's taxonomy places the organism in Eukaryota, Viridiplantae, Streptophyta, Magnoliopsida, Rosales, Rosaceae. The transcript is spliced from 18 exons.
GAAUUUUCCUUUGGUUUCUAUCACCCAUCCAAUCCGACUCACCAUUACACCCCCACUCAACCCUCACUUCUCUGUUCACUUCUCAGACUCCCAACACUGUCACUCUCUCUCAUCCCUCACUAUUCUCUGCCUCUCCCAUUUGUCCCCCCUCUGCAACUCUCCUUCUCACUCUCGGCAAAACCGAGAACCACCACCGUAAUCCCUGGAGCUUUUGCGCUGAUUCCAGUUUUUUAGUAAUUUCUAAGAAACGCAGUCUGCGAUACCUGUUCCGGCCUGAUUUGAAGAAGAUUUCUCAAGCGACUGUAAUUUCAUGGUAACCGUCUUUCAGUUUUUUGGUUUGAACGCUAUAACCAGCAAUCUUUGAAAAAGAUCAAAGGGGCCAAGCGGUGGAGGAGUGGGUUAAUAGUUAUGUGUUCUUCUUGAUAAUUAAUAAGACUGCAGCAGCUGCAGCUCCACCAUCAUUUCUGAAAAAUUAGAUUUACUAAGUCAAUUACCUGCUUUGCAACAGCUUCUUUCUUGCCUUCUUGAUUGCCAGGUCAAGCUCUCUGAGUACAUUGGGAAUAAGUGUGUGAUUCUCUUUUUUUACGCAUUUGACGUCACAUUUGUUUGUCCUAUAGGACCUGGUAAGCCAACAGUUUUCAACUGUAUAAAUGAAAAUAGCUCCAUAUGAGAAGAAAGGAGGAACAAACUGAAGAAACAAACUCAUUUGAUUAAGGAAGUUCAACUCUACUCAUUGUUUCUUAUUUUAGAUAGGGUUGUGAUUGGAUUUCCACACAUAUACAAGUAGUACGGCUUAUCAUGUAUAUUUAAAACUUGCGACAUAUUUUAUACAGUUUUAAAACCCGCAGCAUCGCGCGGGCACUCAUGCUAGUUAUAUAUACUAAAAGCCAGUUGAAACUGGCACUGUUCAGCAAUAGUAAAAGGACGGAAAUGCCCUCCAAAUAAUUUUCUCAGCUGGGUUUCUCUCGGCUUCUGUACAGUGAAAGGGCUGUUUUGCCCUUUUGAUUCCACGCGUCCAUCAUCCGUGUAUGUUUUAGCUUUGGUUAUUCUGGAUCUUUCUUUUGCUUUCGCCUAUUCUCUCGCAUAUCUCCAGUUGCUUUGUUUCUCACCGUCUUUUUUCUUCGCCUUCGCUUCUGUUUUCUUCAUCGUGUUGCUUCGUUGUUCAAAACGUCGACCAUUUUGCUUAGUUGUUCUCCGAUUAAUGGUCACAGGUGUUAAAUUCUCUGCCUUUUUGGUUUGAUUCCAAUAAUUUUUUGGGUUUUUGGUUGGUUGGACCAGGGUUUUCCAAAAAUUUUGUGCCCAUCUUGGGUUCGCUUCGGACUUGGUUGCGACCGAUCUAAUCCGGCGUUUCCAGAUUCGGGAAACGGUCCCUUUCAGAUUUUUGGAUUUUCGAUUCUGAUUCUUGGAACUCUCUGUGCUAAAGGGCGGAGAUCGGGAUGAGAAGAAGAUAUUGAGAGAUGGCUCUUGAGGUCGCUGUCAAGGCCGCCUUGGGCGCCCCUCAUCUUCUCGGCGAUUACCCUUUCAGCCAAAGGGUUCUUCUGACCUUGGAGGAGAAGAAAGUGCCCUACAAAUUGCACUUAAUCAAUCUCAGCGACAACCCAGUGGUAUUUUACUUGGUUUGAAUUUUUGAUCCCGAAAAUACAUGCAGGCAUAGAUGGAAAUAUGUGAUUUUUGUACUUUUAAUGGAUUUUGGUGUAUUUUUUUUGGAGUGUCUGAGGAAUUGGGUUUGGGGUUUUUGUUGGUGAUUUGUAGGUUUACGGAAGUGAAUCCAGAGGGGAAGGUGUCUAUCACUGAGGAUAAACUUUUUGUCUUCAGCCAAUAACAAGAAUAAACAUUCUCCAUUGCUUCGCCCGCUUCUACCAACAAAUUGAAACCUAAACAUUAAAAUUUCAUGACAACGAUUUCACCCAUUUAUCAUAAAAUUGGUAGACAUAACUUCAUACCAUCUCAGAGCAGAAAUAAAGGAAGAUGAGGAGACAAAAAGAAGUACAAGGGGAUGCAUUUAGCUUCCAUUUUUGAGGUUCCAGGCACCCAAAAUCUGUGGUACCCUAGAAUUAACAAUGUAGCUGGAGUUCUCCACUGGCUUAAGCACAGUGGAGAACUCAAGUACAGAACUCUCUAUCUGUUUCUCAAUCUUGGAACCUCUGGCCUCUGCAAGAAGAAGCAAUUUGAAGGAUUAAAAUGCUGUCAUUUGGUAUAGAUGAUCGUGGUUUAGCAAAUUGAUAGCGAGAUGGAACACUCCUAACUAUGUUAUAAGGUUGUAUAGCAGCAAAACGUAGCACCGCAGCAUCGCGCGGGCAGUCUUGCUAGUAAUCUUCUAUAUCUCAUAAGAUUUCUACAUAAUAUUUACUUAUGAUUUACACAGUUACAUUCUUAAUUAAAUUAGAAAUGCAACAAAUUUUACCAAAUAAAAAAAUCUAUAUUUUAGAAAGGAAAAACAGACAAUUACAAACCUUUUAACUGUCGGAGUAUUAGCACUACAUUGAUAUAAAAACGAAAAAAUAAAGAAGAAAAAGCAACUUGUAGUUAGACGUACGCAAAGAUGAGGAAAGCAGCACGAGGAACAUGAACACAAAUACCCUUAAUUUGUCCAUUGGUGGCUAAAAUAUGUUCGAUCAAUAUUUUUUUUUUUCUUUCUCUUCAAGUUUUCAUGUGUGACUAAAACUUGUAUGUGGUCUAAAAUCAUAGUAAAUAGGAUGUUGGAUUUCCACACGUGUUCGAUUUCGAAAUUCCUCCUCUUUAAAAUUAUUGUAAUAAUUUCAAACUCUCUCCCUUCUCUUUAAUAAUAAUAAAAAAAUGUGUUAGUAAAUUUCUUUUAUUCAA